GGGGUUGUGGCUUAGUGGUAUAGCGCUUGCCUGGUACGUCCAAGGCCCUGGGUUCAAACCUCAGCACCUCA
Molecule: transfer RNA, 71 nt
Filed under: Ictidomys tridecemlineatus (thirteen-lined ground squirrel)
Lineage: Eukaryota; Metazoa; Chordata; Mammalia; Rodentia; Sciuridae
Description: Spermophilus tridecemlineatus (thirteen-lined ground squirrel) tRNA
Rfam family: tRNA
About the family: Transfer RNA (tRNA) molecules are approximately 80 nucleotides in length.
Source: Rfam by way of RNAcentral